GCUGCUGUGGCCGAGUGGUCUAAGGCGAUGGUUUUAAGAAGCUUCAUGAGAAGCUGAUUUCACCAUUAUCGAAAGAUGCGAGGGUUCGAACCCCUCCGGCAGCA
RNAcentral lists this transfer RNA (104 nucleotides) under Sclerotinia borealis F-4128. It matches the Rfam family "tRNA". From Rfam's summary of the family: Transfer RNA (tRNA) molecules are approximately 80 nucleotides in length. Their secondary structure includes four short double-helical elements and three loops (D, anti-codon, and T loops). Lineage: Eukaryota; Fungi; Ascomycota; Leotiomycetes; Helotiales; Sclerotiniaceae. The record is from Rfam by way of RNAcentral.